Molecule: ribosomal RNA, 253 nt
Filed under: uncultured prokaryote
Description: partial 16S ribosomal RNA
Rfam family: Bacterial small subunit ribosomal RNA
Source: RNAcentral
ACGGGGGGGGCAAGCGUUGUUCGGAAUUACUGGGCGUAAAGGGCUCGUAGGCGGCCAACUAAGUCGGAUGUGAAAUCCCCAGGCUUAACCUGGGAACUGCAUCCGAUACUGGAUGGCUUGAAUUCGGGAGAGGGAUGCAGAAUUCCAGGUGUAGCGGUGAAAUGCGUAGAUAUCUGGAGGAAUACCGGUGGCGAAGGCAGGUCUCUGGGCUGACACUGACGCUCAUGCACGAAAGCGUGGGGAGCAAACAGGA